GGCUAGAGGAGAUGGCGGGGACGUGAGGGCCCCAUCCUGGAUGGGGCGUACUAGGAGGAGACAGCGGGGCACAGGGUUCCCCGGUGGGGCAGAGGGUGGAUCAGGACGGGCUGGGGCCUGGAGGGCACAGGAGCGCCGGGCUGGGAUCAGGUAGUCUGGGUUGGAGGACAUGGAGCCAUGACCAGGGGGAACAGGGGUGCUGGCUGAAGGAGGAGGCUGAGGUGGGGGCAUCUCCCAGGAGCCUUGACCUCACUCUAGGUUCUGGGCUCCCAGGGUGGAUGGUGAAACACUGGCCAGCUGAUACCCACUGCCUGGGACACUCCUGAUGGAGCCCCAGUCCCUGACAUUGACCUAGGAUGUUGCCGCUCCGGCCCAGCCAGCCUUCCAGCUGUGCCCUCUGAUUCUGAAGCCACUGCUCCCACCUUAGGGCUUCAAAUGCUGGGUCUACAGUGGGAACCAUCAUGGAACCUUGGGAGACAGCCAGAGGAUGUCACAUGAAGAGAAGCACAGCGGGGAGAGGAGAGGAGGUUGGGGAUGUCACCUCGCCUGCCUCUACAUUCUCUCCUCCACGCCUCUGCCCAAGCUGUUCUCCCUGCCUGAAGCACCUUUCACAUCCCUCUCUGCAAGCUCCAGGCCACCUGGGAUUCCAGCCUCCUCCAGGAAGCCUUCUCGGAUGCCCUCCUCCCCAGCCAGUGAGCAACUUAACCUCUUCUGGGCCCCCACCAGACCCCUCUACUGUGAACAGCCUUGGCUAGGGGUGCGGCCAGACACUCAUGAAAUCUCAGAUGACUAGAGGAGACUGGGGAACCCCAACCGUCUCUCAGUGCUUGAGGGUCACACUGGGCCCCUCCCCCAACCUAAUCACCCGUUGUACCCGUGCUGCCCCUGCCCUACCCCCUGCGACAAUGACUGUCAGGUUAAAUCCCAGAGCUGUGGCCCCUGCACGGGGUCUUCUGGCUGUGUCUGAAGGGCUCUGGAUGAGUGGGUGGGGAUUGGAGGGGGUGGUCUGUGCCUGGCAGAGAGCUGAGACAUUGAUGCUAAUCGUGGGAUUAUUCCAGGCAGUGUGUUGUAGAAAUUCUGGGUACAAGACCCUCCAGAUGGAACGCUGGGCCUCAGCUGGAUUUUUGAUCUGUGGCCACGAGGCGUUGGAUCCUCUAAGCAGACCCCAGGGGUGGGGGCACUGGGCCUGCCAGUGCCCUCCAGGUGUUGGUGUCACAGGGCAGAGCCUGGGGAGCCUGGGAAGAAAUAAUGUUUUAAUUAAGAGUCGUGUUGGCCGCAGGGCCCGGAGCGGGGACAGGUGGAUAAUAAAUCGUGGCUGCGGGGAGACCCGGGCCCAGACCGUGUGUUUACCUAUCAUGGGGUGGGGAGGGCACCAGCCUGCCAGACUCUGCUCACCUCCCCUCAGCAGAGCCUCUCUGGGCUGGCAUCUGUCCUCCUGGGGCCAAGUAGCCUAGACCCCUGCUCCUGCCUGGUUUUGGCCUCGGGGGUCCCUGGACCACAUGCAAAUAACUAAUCUACAGGCCCUGGGACUCCCCUGUUUGCACAAUCCCCUGCAAACCCUGGGGACCUGCCUCCUAGGGCCCAACAGGAGAGUUGGGUUUGUAAUAGUCACCACAGCUCCAUUCCUGGGCUCCCACUACACUGCCAGGGCCUGGGCAACAUCCUUGCCUGGCCUUGAGUUGCACUGGUCUGCCAACUGAGAGGCUUGGUGAUGGUGGUGAUGAUUGCUGCCCAUUUUACAGAUGGGGUGUCCAAGGUCAUCCCCCCCUCUUUUGGGCUACUUCCUCUGCAGCCCCCUAAUUGAGGGGUCCCAGUCCAUUCAGCAGAGGUCUAUGAUGGAGGAAAAGAGAGGAUUUCUUGCUUCUUGGCUGAGGUGGGGGUGGGAGAAAGCAUUUUCAGGCCGUUUUGACAUUUAACAAACACUAUGCAAAUCGCAUGCAAAUCACAUGCAAAUCAUCACCCAUUUCUUAAACCUCGACAGCUCCAGCGUGUUCUGAAAUAAUAAUGUUGGACCUGUCCCUUGGCGUUGGCCUCGAGGAGGGGUACAAAGCCUUCCUUUCCUUCCCUCCUUUCUUCCUUCCCCUUCCCUUCCCUCUGUUUCCUUUCUUCCUUCCUUUCCUUCCAUCCCUACCUUCCUUUUUUUCUGUUAUCUCUUUACUCCCUUUACAUUAUUUGUUGAAGGCCUCCCAGUUCUGAGAUGAAUACAAAUAGCAAAAGUGGCUUCUGUAGUUCCCGCUUUCCAAAUGGGGAAACAGACACAGAGAAGCACAAGCCUGGCCUGAGAUUCCACAACCACAUUGUGGAAAGCGUCCCCCACCAAGUGCUGUUGUGGACCAACACUGGAUGGUAACUGUGACCUUAGGUGGAGAGACAACAGUGGCUGGAGCAAGCUUAACAGGGCUCGGAGGAACCAAGGAAAAUUGUCCUUGGGUUUCUUGGCCUUGAAGGGCAGGCUGCCAGGCUUGGAUCUGGAGAAAUCUGACCUUGACGGGUCUUACUCCUCAAGUCUUUCUUUCUCCAGCUACUCCAUCAGCAAACUCUGAAUUUGGCCCACAACCUCUCUGCUUAGUUUGCAUGCCCUACUUUUUCUGUUCGCAAACUCCUAUUCAUCCUUUGAAGCCCUAGCUCCAAGGCCCCCUUCUUUAUGCAGCCAUCUCUGAUCCUCCAAGAAGAGCUGCCACUUCUCUUUGGGCUUCUGUUGCUCCAGAUCUCUCUCUCUCUCUCUGAUCCAGGGCUGACCCUUUUGGUCCAGGGCUGCCCACUCUGGCUUGAUUCCAGCACUUGUCUGAUUAUUAUACACCUUGAAACUUGUAUUCUAAACCUAGAUCUUUUCUGAUCUUUUUCACCUGGCCUACUCCUACAUUUUCAAGGUCUGGCACUAAUGCCCACCUCUGUGUAAACUGUACAGCUCUCUCCUAGUUGGCUUCUGGGUCUACAGCCUCCAGCUCUCCUGGCUUGUUUCUGACCCAUGGAACGGGGAGGUGUGUGUGUCCUUCAAGUCUUAGGACUUGCCUCUGCAGCCCCAGGAUCAUCCAGGUUGGGACUGGGUACAGAGGGACUGAGUUGGAGUGUCUAUGAAUAAAUGAUUAAGUGUCUGGAAACAAAGCCAAGUUCACUCCCUAACUUGGCCUUGGGCUUCACUCUCCAUGACAGUUCAGCCCUAAGUGUGCCCUUCGCCCUUCCCUCUCCCUCACCUCCAGGCUUCUGUACCUCUGCCAGGAAUGGUUUUCCCUUGACUCCUAUUUUGGGGGACCCCAAGCCAGCCCUUUCCCAUUUCUGGCCUGUGAAAAGGGGAGAAGCCCGCCCCCCUCAUGGCCUCUCACGAUCCUGACUCCACCCCAGGAGCAAGUCUGGGCUGCAAGGAGUUUCGGGUGAGACUUGGCAGCCACCCUCUCUCGCUGAGGCCUGCAGCGUCUGGGGAGGGGCCACCUCCCGCCUUGGCUGCCCACUGACUUUGUGCUCCCAGAAGUUCCAUGGGAGUUGUCCUGGGGGGAAAUAAAUCCAGGCGGGUCCCAGAGGAGGCAUCUAGGGCUCAGCCAGAAACUAUAGGCACCUGGACUUCCUGCUUUAGUUCUGCUCUGCACUCCCCCGACCCCCAUCCCCAGGACUCCAGGCUGGAUUCUGGUGUUUGCUAACUCUGUCCAUUAGCCCAACAGGCAUUUAUUGAGUGCCCUCUGUGUACCCAGUUCUGGCUGCCAGAUAUACUAAGACAGAUCCUGCGUUUGGCUGCCAUAGAUGGUGGAGCCAGUUGUUCACUGCACAAAAGCAUCCAGCUGAGGAAUUCCUGUCGUGGUGCAGUGGAAAUGAAUCUGACUAGGAACCAUGAGGUUGCGGAUUUGAUCCCUAGCCUCGCUAAGUGGGUUAAGGAUCCGGUGUUGCCGUGAGCUGUGGUGUAAGUUGCAGACAUGGCUCGGAUACUGUGUUGCUGUGGCUGUGGUGUAGGCCGGCGGCUACAGCUCCAAUUCAACCCCUAGCCUGAGAACCCCCAUAUGCUGCAGGUGUGGCCCUAAAAGGACAAAAGACAAAAAAAAAAAAAAAAAAAAAAAAAAAA
RNAcentral lists this long non-coding RNA (4051 nucleotides) under Sus scrofa (pig). RNAcentral's name for it is "lncRNA (ENSSSCG00050052561.1)". The record is from RNAcentral. Lineage: Eukaryota; Metazoa; Chordata; Mammalia; Artiodactyla; Suidae.